Molecule: ribosomal RNA, 776 nt
Filed under: uncultured Neocallimastigales
Lineage: Eukaryota; Fungi; Neocallimastigomycota; Neocallimastigomycetes; Neocallimastigales
Description: partial large subunit ribosomal RNA
Rfam family: Eukaryotic large subunit ribosomal RNA
Source: RNAcentral
CGCAUCUGUGCAUGCAGCAUAUCAAUAAGCGGAGGAAAAGAAACUAACAAGGAUUCCCUUAGUAACGGCGAGUGAAGCGGGAAGAGCUCAAAUUUGAAAUCUUCAAGGUUUUACCUUGACGAAUUGUAGUUUAAAGAAGUGUUUUCUGUUGAAGUUUUGGUAAAAGUUCUUUGGAAUAGGACAGUCAUAGAGGGUGAGAAUCCCGUAUUUGACCAUUAUUUUCAGCUGUGUGAUACACUUUCAAAGAGUCGGAUUGUUUGGGAAUGCAGUCCAAAAUGGGUGGUAAAUUUCAUCUAAAGCUAAAUAUUGGCGAGAGACCGAUAGCGAACAAGUACCGUGAGGGAAAGAUGAAAAGAACUUUGAAAAGAGAGUUAAACAGUACGUGAAAUUGUCAAAAGGGAAGCGUUUGACACCAGUGUUGUUUUCUCGAAAAUCAAUUAAAAAGAGUUUGAUUUUGUUGUGUAUUGACCUUAACAGCUUGCAUUUCAAUUUUCUUGCUUUUUUUAAUGCACUUUUCGUUUAACAAGUCGAACAUCAGUUUCUUUUGUUGUAAAAAGGUCAUUGGAAGGUGGCUUUCUUUUCGGAGAAAGUGUUUAUAGCCUUUGACUCCUGCAAUCGGAGAGACUGAGGUCUGCAGCGUAGAUCCUUCGGGGUUAGAUACAUUUGUGCUAAGUUAUAGCUUUUUAUAGACAACUUGUUGACUAUGAUUAGUCUUGUAGCUUACUCGCUUAUGCUAUUUUACCUACGCUUAGGAUGUUGACGCGCGUGUGUGCGUG